This 150-nucleotide unclassified non-coding RNA is filed under the name uncultured Podospora. RNAcentral's name for it is "partial internal transcribed spacer 2". The record is from RNAcentral. Lineage: Eukaryota; Fungi; Ascomycota; Sordariomycetes; Sordariales; Lasiosphaeriaceae.
CAACCAUCAAGCCCCGGGCUUGUGUUGGGGACCUGCGUCCGACGCAGGCCCUGAAAACCAGUGGCGGGCUCGCUGUCCACACCGAGCGUAGUAACUAACCUCGCUAUGGAGUGGCGCGGGCGCCUGCCGUAAAACCCCCAAUUUUUACAA